Molecule: long non-coding RNA, 1599 nt
Filed under: Homo sapiens (human)
Lineage: Eukaryota; Metazoa; Chordata; Mammalia; Primates; Hominidae
Description: non-protein coding lnc-ZNF175-1:1
Source: RNAcentral
UAAAAACUUGAGCCCACAGUGUAGACACACUGGUUCCAAAGACCCCUCAGGAUGUGCCUCCCUUCUCAGAUCUGGGCUUUCCCUGUUCCUAAGCAUCACCUGGGGGGAUCACUCUGGGUCCUCAUCUCCAGCCACAUGUUCACUCCUCACGUGGGCCUCCCUAACUGUCCCCCUCAGGGCAAGCCCUUCCUCCCCACUUCCAGAAAGCUGCUCGUUCCCUGGCCAUCCCACACCUCUGACCUCGUGCCACUUCCGGGGCCUGUUGGCUUUAACAACUUAGUUUCCUCCCUACCUCGCAACCCCCUCUGUCUAGAGUGCUCACCUCCCUCCCAGCCUCUGUCUCAUACUAUUUUUUCUUUCCUCUCAGUACCAAGCGCUGGGACAAGCCAGUCUGUACUCAAUGCCUGUGGGAUAAUAGACGGAGGAAUCUGGAGUUUGGUUGGGUGAUUAGCUUUGGAAUUGAUGGGUCCCAGGGAGCUAUCUAAAGUUUUCAGUCACAUGAGGGCAUGCUCACAGAUCUGUGAAAAGAUCUGUUGGCUCAGAGAACUAAGAGAUGAAUAAAUGUUAGUCCAAUGGCCUCAUCAUGAGAUGAGAGGUCAAGAGUUUUGAGUUUCCAGAGGGAGAAGCUACUAUUCUAGGCAGCUUGUAUGAACUAACUCGUUUAUUCCUCACAGCCAUUGUAGGAAAUAAUCUAACCUCAUAAACCCCAUUUUAGAGAUGAGGAAACAGGCUUAGAGAAUUUGACGUAAACUCAAGACCGAAAAUCUAGGAACAAGAAAAGCCUGGAUUUGAACCAAGCUAUCUGAUGCCAGUGUUUUAACUCUCAACCAUUGUACUACUUUACCUCCUCAUGACCUUUUUUUUUUUUUUCUUGUGAGAUGGAGUCUCGCUCUGUCGCCCAGGCUCUGGAGUGCAGUGGCACGAUCUCAGCUCACUGCAAGCUCCGCCUCCCGGGUUCACGCCAUUCUCCUGCCUCAGCCUCCCGAGUAGCUGGGACUACAGGCGCCCACCACCAUGCCUGGCUAAUUUUUUGUAUUUUUAGUAGAGACGGGGUUUCACCGUGUUGGCCAGGAUGGUCUCGAUCUCCUGACCUCGUGAUCCCCCCCCCUCGGCCUCCCAAAGUGCCCAUGACCUUUUUAUUGUUGGGCAGUGAAAGCCAUGGUGAAAUGAAGAAUGUCCUACUGUCAUGUGAUGUGAUCAGAAAACAUACUGCCCAGAGUCCCCUGCCCCCACCCCCAAAACCAGUACUUGAUCCAUCCUUUGACUGUUGUGGCGAUUGGCACAAAGGUUGGGCACAGUAGUAGUUAGGCUCAUGGGCUCUGGAGCCAACCUACCUGGAUGCUACACAUCCCAGCUCUGCCCCUCGCUAGUUUGGUGGCAAGCAACUUAACCUCUCUGCCUUAAUUUCUCCAGCAGCACAAUGGGAAUAAUAAUAGAUCUCGCCUUGUGGCUCCUUUGCAGAUUACAUGCGUUAAUUAUGUAAAGUCAAGCAUUAGAAUGGUGGCUGUCCACCAUGAGUACAACACAAAUGCUCGUUCUUAAUGAUUCAACAAACAUGGAAUUUCAUUAAAUCUGAAAUAAAGGUAUUUUGAGAAAUUG